Molecule: ribosomal RNA, 378 nt
Filed under: uncultured cyanobacterium
Lineage: Bacteria; Bacillati; Cyanobacteriota
Description: bacterial SSU rRNA
Rfam family: Bacterial small subunit ribosomal RNA
Source: RNAcentral
CGCAAGCCUGACGGAGCAAGACCGCGUGGGGGAUGACGGCCUAAUGGUUGUAAACCCCUUUUCUCUGGGAAGAAGACUGACGGUACCGGAGGAAUCAGCCUCGGCUAACUCCGUGCCAGCAGCCGCGGUAAUACGGAGGAGGCAAGCGUUAUCCGGAAUUAUUGGGCGUAAAGCGUCCGUAGGUGGUUAUUCAAGUCUGCUGUCAAAGCGUGGGGCUUAACUCCAUAGAGGCAGUGGAAACUGAGUGACUAGAGUGCGGUAGGGGUCGAGGGAAUUCCCAGUGUAGCGGUGAAACGCGUAGAUAUUGGGAAGAACACCAGUGGCGAAAGCGCUCGACUGGGCCUGCACUGACACCGAGGGACGAAAGCUAGGGGAGCG